RNAcentral lists this ribosomal RNA (468 nucleotides) under uncultured bacterium. RNAcentral describes it as "partial 16S ribosomal RNA". It matches the Rfam family "Bacterial small subunit ribosomal RNA", at positions 28 to 523 of the family's 1533-position model. The record is from RNAcentral.
GAUGAACGCUGGCGGCGUGCCUAACACAUGCAAGUCGAGCGAUUCUCUUCGGAGAAGAGCGGCGGACGGGUGAGUAACGCGUGGGUAACCUGCCCUGUACACACGGGUAACAUACCGAAAGGUAUGCUAAUACGAGAUAAUAUGCUUUUGUCGCAUGGUAGAAGUAUCAAAGCUCCGGGGGUACAGGAUGGACACGCGUCUGAUUAGCUAGUUGGUAAGGUAACGGCUUACCAAGGCGACGAUCAGUAGCCGACCUGAGAGGGUGAUCGGCCACAUUGGAACUGAGCCACGGUCCAAACUCCAACGGGAGGCAGCAGUGGGGAAUAUUGCACAAUGGGCGAAAGCCUGAUGCAGCAACGCCGCGUGAGCGAUGAAGGCCUUCGGGUCGUAAAGCUCUGUCCUCAAGGAAGAUAAUGACGGUACUUGAGGAGGAAGCCCCGGCUAACUACGUGCCAGCCGCCGCCGUAA